CUGCUGCCUUCCGUAGGAGUCUGGUCCGUGUCUCAGUACCAGUGUGGGGGACCUUCCUCUCAGAACCCCUACGCAUCGUCGCCUCGGUGGGCCGUUACCCCGCCGACUAGCUAAUGCGCCGCAUGGCCAUCCGCAGCCGAUAAAUCUUUAAACAUCAGGAGAUGCCUCCCAACGUUGUUACGCGGUAUUAGACGGAAUUUCUUCCGCUUAUCCCCCUGCUGCGGGCAGGUUCCAUACGUGUUACUCACCCGUGCGCCGGUCGCCGG
This 266-nucleotide ribosomal RNA is filed under the name uncultured bacterium. RNAcentral describes it as "partial 16S ribosomal RNA". The record is from RNAcentral.